CCUACGGGAGGCUGCAGUGAGGAAUAUUGGUCAAUGGACGAGAGUCUGAACCAGCCAAGUAGCGUGAAGGAUGACUGCCCUAUGGGUUGUAAACUUCUUUUAUAUGGGAAUAAAAUGUUCCACGUGUGGGAUUUUGUAUGUACCAUAUGAAUAAGGCUCGGCUAACUCCGUGCCAGCAGCCGCGGUAAUACGGAGGAUCCGAGCUUUAUCCGGAUUUAUUGGGUUUACAGGGAGCGUAGGUGGAUUGGUAAGUCAGUUGUGAAAGUUUGCGGCUCAACCGUAAAAUUGCAGUUGAAACUGGCAGUCUUGAGUACAGUAGAGGUGGGCGGAAUUCGUGGUGUAGCGGUGAAAUGCUUAGAUAUCACGAAGAACUCCGAUUGCGAAGGCAGUUCACUGGACUGCAACUGACACUGAGGCUCGAAAGUGUGGGUAUCAAACAGGAUUAGAUACCCCAGUAGUC
RNAcentral lists this ribosomal RNA (460 nucleotides) under uncultured bacterium. Its description in RNAcentral is "partial 16S ribosomal RNA". It matches the Rfam family "Bacterial small subunit ribosomal RNA", at positions 338 to 795 of the family's 1533-position model. The record is from RNAcentral.